GUUUCUUGUGGGAGAUCAUUUUGCCCCCUAAGGGAUGGUGGGGAUAGAGUAAAAUGAUCAAAAUACGUUUAGGAAAAUGAGUUGUAUACUCAACAUGAAGGCAUCCUCCAAUUAAGAUUGCUGAAAGCAGGAAACGAUUGAGAAAUGCAUGGCUUAAAAUGGCAGAUGCUUGAAGAGGAAACUGAGGGUGACCUGUCGACAACCUCCAGCAAUCGAAAGAAGUCAGCCUGAGUAGUAAUACAUCACCAGCCCUGGGAACAGAGGAUAGCGAAAUCAUUCAUCAUGGU
This 287-nucleotide long non-coding RNA is filed under the name Ornithorhynchus anatinus (platypus). RNAcentral's name for it is "lncRNA (ENSOANG00000047172.1)". The record is from RNAcentral. Lineage: Eukaryota; Metazoa; Chordata; Mammalia; Monotremata; Ornithorhynchidae.